This 2748-nucleotide ribosomal RNA is filed under the name Euryhalocaulis sp. RNAcentral's name for it is "23S ribosomal RNA". It matches the Rfam family "Bacterial large subunit ribosomal RNA". Lineage: Bacteria; Pseudomonadati; Pseudomonadota; Alphaproteobacteria; Maricaulales; Maricaulaceae. The record is from RNAcentral.
AGAUCAAGCGUUUUAAGGGCGUUCAGUGGAUGCCUUGGCGCUGGGAGGCGAUGAAAGACGUGGUACGCUGCGAUAAGCUUCGGGGAGUUGCGAACAAACUUUGAUCCGAAGAUUUCUGAAUGGGGAAACCCACCGCGUAUGCGGUAUCGUAUGCUGAAUACAUAAGCAUGCGAGGCAAACCCGGGGAACUGAAACAUCUAAGUACCCGGAGGAAAGGACAUCAACCGAGACUCCGAAAGUAGUGGCGAGCGAAAUCGGACCAGGCCAGUGGCCAACAAGAUUCAACCGGAAGCGUCUGGAAAGGCGCGCCGUAGUGGGUGACAGCCCCGUACGGGUUCAGGUCUUGUUGGUCCUUGAGUAGGGCGGGACACGUGAAAUCCUGUCUGAACAUGGGAGGACCACCUUCCAAGCCUAAGUACUCCCCAGCGACCGAUAGUGAACAAGUACCGUGAGGGAAAGGUGAAAAGCACCCCGACGAGGGGAGUGAAACAGAUCCUGAAACUGGAUGCCUACAAGCAGUCGGAGCCGCCUUGCGCGGUGACGGCGUACCUUUUGUAUAAUGGGUCAGCGAGUUGGUCUCUCAUGCAAGCUUAAGCCGUUAGGUGUAGGCGCAGCGAAAGCGAGUCUUAAAUGGGCGACAAGUAUGAGGGAUCAGACCCGAACGCAGGUGAUCUAGAUAUGAGCAGGCUGAAGGUGCGGUAACACGCACUGGAGGGCCGAACCCACCUAUGUUGAAAAAUGGGGGGAUGACUUGUGUCUAGGGGUGAAAGGCCAAUCAAACCUGCAGAUAGCUGGUUCUCCGCGAAAUCUAUUUAGGUAGAGCGUCAUGUGAAUACUCUCGGGGGUAGAGCACUGGAUGGGCUAUGGGGACUCACCGUCUUACUGAUCCUAACCAAACUCCGAAUACCGAGAAGUACUGCAUGGCAGACACACGGCGGGUGCUAAGGUCCGUCGUGGAAAGGGAAACAGCCCUGACCGCCAGCUAAGGUCCCAAAGUAAUGGCUAAGUGGAAAAGGAUGUGGAAGUGCUUAGACAAUCAGGAGGUUGGCUUAGAAGCAGCCAUCCUUUAAAGAAAGCGUAACAGCUCACUGAUCAAGCGCUUCCGCGCCGAAGAUGUACCGGGGCUCAAGCCAUUCACCGAAGCUGCGGACUCCCCUUGUGGGAGUGGUAGCGGAGCGUUCCGUAAGCCUGUGAAGCUGUCCUGCGAGGGAUGGUGGAGGUAUCGGAAGUGAGAAUGCUGACAUGAGUAGCGAUAAAGAGUGUGAGAGACACUCUCGCCGAAAGUCCAAGGGUUCCUGCGCAAUGCUAAUCAGCGCAGGGUUAGCCGGCCCCUAAGGCGAGGCCGAAAGGCGUAGUCGAUGGGAACCAGGUAAAUAUUCCUGGGCCAGUGGGUAGUGACGGAUUCCGUGUAUCGUCAAUCCUUAUCGGAUUGGAUUGGCGGUGAAGGAGUCCCUGGAAAUAGCUCCCACAUUAGACCGUACCCCAAACCGACACAGGUGGACAGGUAGAGCAUACCAAGGCGCUUGAGAGAACUCUGUUGAAGGAACUCGGCAAAUUACCCCCGUAACUUCGGGAGAAGGGGGCCUCUGCAUCGGGCAACCGGUGUGGAGGGGCACAGACCAGGGGGUGGCGACUGUUUACUAAAAACAUAGGGCUCUGCGAAGUCGCAAGACGACGUAUAGGGUCUGACGCCUGCCCGGUGCCGGAAGGUUAAAGGGCGGAGUGAGAGCUCCAAACUGAAGCCCCGGUAAACGGCGGCCGUAACUAUAACGGUCCUAAGGUAGCGAAAUUCCUUGUCGGGUAAGUUCCGACCUGCACGAAUGGCGUAACGACUUCCCCACUGUCUCCAACAGAGACUCAGCGAAAUUGAAUUCUCCGUGAAGAUGCGGAGUUCCCGCGGUCAGACGGAAAGACCCCGUGCACCUUUACUACAGCUUUGCAGUGGCGUUAGUGACGACUUGUGCAGGAUAGGUGGGAGGCUUUGAAGCGUGGGCGCCAGCUCAUGUGGAGCCACCGUUGAAAUACCACCCUUGUCCUCAUUGACGUCUAACCGCGGUCCAUGAACCUGGAUCCGGGACCCUGCAUGGCGGGUAGUUUGACUGGGGCGGUCGCCUCCUAAAUGGUAACGGAGGCGCGCGAAGGUUGGCUCAGAACGGUCGGAAAUCGUUCGCUGAGUGCAAUGGCAUAAGCCAGCCUGACUGCGAGACUGACAGGUCGAGCAGAGUCGAAAGACGGCCAUAGUGAUCCGGUGGUCCCGCGUGGAAGGGCCAUCGCUCAACGGAUAAAAGGUACGCCGGGGAUAACAGGCUGAUACUGCCCAAGAGUCCAUAUCGACGGCAGUGUUUGGCACCUCGAUGUCGGCUCAUCACAUCCUGGGGCUGGAGCAGGUCCCAAGGGUUCGGCUGUUCGCCGAUUAAAGUGGUACGUGAGCUGGGUUUAGAACGUCGUGAGACAGUUCGGUCCCUAUCUGCCGUGGGUGUUGGAGACUUGAGAGGAGCUGCCCCUAGUACGAGAGGACCGGGGUGGACGUACCACUGGUGGACCUGUUGUCGUGCCAACGGCAGUGCAGGGUAGCUAUGUACGGACUGGAUAACCGCUGAAAGCAUCUAAGCGGGAAGCCCCCCUCAAAACUAGGUCUCCCUUGAGAGCCGUGGAAGACCACCACGUUGAUAGGCUGGGUGUGGAAGUGCGGCAACGCAUGAAGCUGACCAGUACUAAUUGCUCGAUAGGCUUGAUCACAACUCGCUC